GUCAAUUCUUUAUACGUCGUAUGUAUUGCGAUCGAGUGUUCGUAGACAGACUCAUGUUUCUUUGAGUGUACUAUUAAAUACUAAACUAUAAAUAUAAAUAUAUAUUGAAAAUGAAAAAUAAAUUAAUUUCAACACUCGCAGUGGUUUUUUUUGUUACAAUUAACUUUUCACGUACUGAGGCUAUAACGAUUGAAUGUAGAGCAAAUGAAAGAAUUCGGAAAAGCAAUUGCCAAAAGUUGUGCCUCUAAAACAGCUCUCAGUAAAGAAUUACAAGAAGCUCAUCGCAAUGGAGAAUUUCCUGAAGAUGAAGCCCUGAAGUGCUAUCUCGGUUGCUACUGUAAAAUGUCAAAAAUAGCAAGAACUUAUUAGUAUUUCUAUUUUAAUAACCCAUUCGAAAAAAAUAUAUAUCCGGAUAUAUCCGGGCAAAUCUGGAAUAUGUCGCAUAUAUGCAACAUAUAUAUAAAUAUAUGUCUCAUAUAUGCAAAUUUGCCCGGAUAUAUAUUGUUUUCGUAUGGGAAGAAUUAAAUAGCAGAUAAAUAGAAAAGAAUUUAUUUUUUAGUUUGAUCAUUUUCUGUUUGAAGGCUGAUAUCUCUGCGACAAAUCGUCCUACGAGGUUAAAAAAAAAUCAAAUUGAAGCUGAAUAAAUUUGCUAAACGAACUAUGCAUUCGUUUAGUUGAAAGAAUUUUUUCGCGGUCCGUGGGCUCUUCGGAAAAAAAAAAAAAUUUAGAAAUUUUUUGUCUCGCGGCAUUUCUCAUGUUUGCGCAAUAACCGGAGCUUUUAAAAAAUUUUGAAAAAAAAUGCACCAAAACUAGAGAUUUCAAGCUGUAAAAUGCUUUUUUAAAAUUUCGAUACGAUCAGUUUUUACCAAGUUACAGCCUUCCAAAAAUCACUUAAAAAUUUAUAAAAUUUUUCUGCUCCUCUAAUUUUUUGCAUUAGUGUAUUAUUUGCGAUAAAUAUCUACAUUGGUGAAAUUAUUAUUCGUGAUCACUUCUUAUUAUUUUAGCGUUGAUUACUUAUAAUUAUUUGAUUAUUUGUAUUUAAACACUGGUGAUUUAUUGCGAAAAUACUGUUUGUGAGUAUUUAGUAUUUUUGCUGGAAAUAUUUAUUAUUAUUAUCAGCGAUCAUUUACAUAUUUAUUAUUAUACAGCGAUUAUUUUGUUAAUGCGUUGAAUAUUUACAAUUGUUUAACGUAUUAUUUAUGCGUAUUGUUUAAUUCCAACUUGUGGUUAAAUUAUAUUUGGAGUGCGCAACAGUAUUAUUUAUAAUUAUUUAUAUCUAAUUGCUAUCACAUGCGAGUGAUGACAAGCCGUUCAAUUAUUAGAAUUAUUAUUUUUUUGCUUUACUUGACCAUUAGUUAAGCGUUUAUUUUGAAGUGAAUUAUUAUUAAUUGCAUUAUUGUUAUAUUAAUACCCGAUGGGACUGAUGUUAUAGUUUAAAAUAUAUUGGGUUGAUAAAUGGCUACCAACCUGG
This is a long non-coding RNA of Microplitis mediator, 1471 nucleotides long. RefSeq lists it as uncharacterized. Lineage: Eukaryota; Metazoa; Arthropoda; Insecta; Hymenoptera; Braconidae. The transcript has 3 exons. The record is from RefSeq and is a predicted model, not a curated record.